This 278-nucleotide ribosomal RNA is filed under the name uncultured bacterium. RNAcentral's name for it is "partial 16S ribosomal RNA". It matches the Rfam family "Bacterial small subunit ribosomal RNA", at positions 332 to 628 of the family's 1533-position model. The record is from RNAcentral.
UGCAGCCUACGGGACGCAGCAGUGGGGGAUAUUGGACAAUGGGGGAAACCCUGAUCCAGCGAUGCCGCGUGAGGGAAGAAGGUUUUCGGAUUGUAAACCUCUGUGGAGGGGGACGAUAAUGACGGUACCCCUUUAGGAAGCCACGGCUAACUACGUGCCAGCAGCCGCGGUAAUACGUAGGUGGCGAGCGUUGUCCGGAAUUACUGGGUGUAAGGGGAGUGUAGGCGGGCAAGCAAUUCAGAAGUGAAAACUAUGGGCUUAACCCAUAGCCUUCUUUU